GACGAACGCUGGCGGCGUGCUUAACACAUGCAAGUCGAACGGAAAGGCCCUGCUUUUGUGGGGUGCUCGAGUGGCGAACGGGUGAGUAACACGUGAGUAACCUGCCCUUGACUUUGGGAUAACUUCAGGAAACUGGGGCUAAUACCGGAUAGGAGCUCCUGCUGCAUGGUGGGGGUUGGAAAGUUUCGGCGGUUGGGGAUGGACUCGCGGCUUAUCAGCUUGUUGGUGGGGUAGUGGCUUACCAAGGCUUUGACGGGUAGCCGGCCUGAGAGGGUGACCGGCCACAUUGGGACUGAGAUGCGGCACAGACUCCUACGGGAGGCAGCAGUGGAGAAUAUUGCACAAUGGGCGGGAGCCUGAUGCAGCAACGCCGCGUGCGGGAUGGCGGCCUUCGGGUUGUAAACCGCUUGCGCCUGAGACGAAGCGUGAGUGACGGUAAGGGGUAAAGAAGCACCGGCUAACUACG
This 466-nucleotide ribosomal RNA is filed under the name uncultured bacterium. RNAcentral's name for it is "partial 16S ribosomal RNA". It matches the Rfam family "Bacterial small subunit ribosomal RNA", at positions 28 to 505 of the family's 1533-position model. The record is from RNAcentral.